RNAcentral lists this ribosomal RNA (468 nucleotides) under uncultured bacterium. RNAcentral's name for it is "partial 16S ribosomal RNA". It matches the Rfam family "Bacterial small subunit ribosomal RNA", at positions 28 to 507 of the family's 1533-position model. The record is from RNAcentral.
GACGAACGCAGGCGGCGUGCUUAACACAUGCAAGUCGAACGGAAAGGCCCUGCUUUUGUGGGGUUCUCGAGUGGCGAACAGGUGAGUAACACGUGAGUAACCUGCCCUUGACUUUGGGAUAUCUUCAUGAAACUGGGGCUAAUACCGGAUAGGAGCUCCUGCUGCAUGGUGGGGGUUGGAAAGUUUCGGCGGUUGGGGAUGUACCCGCGGCUUAUCAGCUUGUUGGUGGGGUAGUGGCUUACCAAGGCUUUGACGGGUAGCCGGCCUGAGAGGGUGACCGGCCACACUGGGACUGAGAUACGGCCCCGACUCCUACGGGAGGAAGCAGUGGGGAAUAUUGCACAAUGGGCGGCAGCCUGAUGCAGGAACGCAGCGUGCGGGAUGCCGGCCUUCGGGUUGUAAACCGCUUUCGCAUGUGACGAAGCGUGAGUGACGGUAAUGGGUAAAGAAGCACCGGCUACCUACGUG